GUGCGCCUUUUUUUUUUUUCCUUCUUAGUCGUGUGUACAUCAUUGGGAAUGGAGGGAAAUAAAUGACUGGAUGGUCGCUGCUUUUUAAGUUUCAAAUUGACAUUCCAGACAAGCGGUGCCUGAGCCCGUGCCUGUCUUCAGAUCUUCACAGCACAGUUCCUGGGAAGGUGGAGCCACCAGCCUCUCCCUGACAAGCAAAGUGGAUCAGCAAAGGCUGCAGUCACCAGCAUCUUUUCCAACCUUAAUGAACUGUAUCCUCAAAAGAACACUAUCAGACUGGCUCUGCCGACUUCCAGUUCUGGAACAAGAUGGUUAAACUCAUUUUUCCCUGCUCUGCUCCUCUAAAUACAACUAAGUACCUUGGAAACUAUUCAGCAGACAAUGAUAAAGGGCUCUGAAAGCUAGAAGAAAAGGUGUACUUGCAAGAAACCUCAGGACUUGAGUAACAGCAACAUGAACAAUCCAUUUCACAGAUGAAGAAACAGACUCAGUGAGCACGUGAUCACUUCUCACAACUAAUGGAGCCAAGAUUCUGUCCUUAUGGCUCCAGAGACCUCUUUUUUUUCCCACUGUACCACAACACUCACCAGGACUGGAGUGCCACCUAUGACCUCAUUGCAUAAUGGAUGGCUUGUCCUCAAAUGGGCCCGGUCUUGGACGAGCCUGAGGAUGUCUACAAGUGGAAGAAAAGAAGCCACUGGAGCAGAAGGUGGGGAGGAUAAAAUUUGGAGCAAGAUUCUCAAGGAAGCAACAAGAUCCUAAGAUGUAGACUGAUGCACGUUCAGCCACAAUCAAGAUGCAGAACUGUGCCAUCACAACAAAGUUCUCCCUCAUGCUGUCCCUUUAAAGUCACAUCCACUGCUCCCCCAUGACCCCACCCAUAACUAACCCCUGGCAACCAUUACUCUGGUCUCCAGUUCUACAAUUUUGUAAUAGUGAGCAUUUUACAUAAAUGGAAUUAUACAAUA
RNAcentral lists this long non-coding RNA (968 nucleotides) under Homo sapiens (human). Its description in RNAcentral is "MIR4435-2 host gene". Lineage: Eukaryota; Metazoa; Chordata; Mammalia; Primates; Hominidae. The record is from RNAcentral.